UCGGUGCCGCAGCUAACGCAUUAAGUACUCCGCCUGGGAAGUACGCUCGCAAGAGUGAAACUCGAAGGAAUUGACGGGGACCCGCACAAGUAGCGGAGCAUGUGGUUUAAUUCGAAGCAACGCGAAGAACCUUACCUAAGCUUGACAUCCCAAUGACAUCUCCUUAAUCGGAGAGUUCCCUUCGGGGACAUUGGUGACAGGUGGUGCAUGGUUGUCGUCAGCUCGUGUCGUGAGAUGUUGGGUUAAGUCCCGCAACGAGCGCAACCCUUGUCUUUAGUUGCCAUCAUUAAGUUGGGCACUCUAGAGAGACUGCCAGGGAUAACCUGGAGGAAGGUGGGGAUGACGUCAAAUCAUCAUGCCCCUUAUGCUUAGGGCUACACACGUGCUACAAUGGGUAGUACAGAGGGUUGCCAAGCCGUAAGGUGGAGCUAAUCCCUUAAAGCUACUCUCAGUUCGGAUUGUAGGCUGAAACUCGCCUACAUGAAGCUGGAGUUACUAGUAAUCGCAGAUCAGAAUGCUGCGGUGAAUGCGUUCCCGGGUCUUGUACACACCGCCCGUCACACCACGGGAGUUGGAGACGCCCGAAGCCGAUUAUCUAACCUUUUGGAAGAAGUCGUCGAAGGUGGAAUCAAUAACUGGGGUGAAGUCGUAACAAGGUAGCCGUAUCGGAAGGUGCGGCUGGAUCACCUCCUUUCUAAGGA
RNAcentral lists this ribosomal RNA (701 nucleotides) under Clostridioides difficile. RNAcentral describes it as "bacterial SSU rRNA". It matches the Rfam family "Bacterial small subunit ribosomal RNA", at positions 840 to 1533 of the family's 1533-position model. Lineage: Bacteria; Bacillati; Bacillota; Clostridia; Peptostreptococcales; Peptostreptococcaceae. The record is from RNAcentral.